UUAAAUUGAAGAGUUUGAUCAUGGCUCAGAUUGAACGCUGGCGGCAGGCCUAACACAUGCAAGUCGAACGGUAACAGGAAGUAGCUUGCUGCUUUUCUGACGAGUGGCGGACGGGUGAGUAAUGUCUGGGAAACUGCCUGCUGGAGGGGGAUAACUACUGGAAACGGUGGCUAAUACCGCAUAACGUCGCAAGACCA
RNAcentral lists this ribosomal RNA (197 nucleotides) under Salmonella enterica subsp. enterica serovar Enteritidis. Its description in RNAcentral is "partial 16S ribosomal RNA". It matches the Rfam family "Bacterial small subunit ribosomal RNA", at positions 1 to 203 of the family's 1533-position model. The record is from RNAcentral. Lineage: Bacteria; Pseudomonadati; Pseudomonadota; Gammaproteobacteria; Enterobacterales; Enterobacteriaceae.